RNAcentral lists this ribosomal RNA (406 nucleotides) under uncultured bacterium. RNAcentral describes it as "partial 16S ribosomal RNA". It matches the Rfam family "Bacterial small subunit ribosomal RNA", at positions 30 to 526 of the family's 1533-position model. The record is from RNAcentral.
AUUGAACGCUGGCGGCAGGCCUAACACAUGCAAGUCGAACGAGUGGCGUACGGGUGAGUAAUGUCUGGUAAACUGCCUGAUGGAGGGGGAUAACUACUGUAAACGGUAGCUAAUACCGCAUACCAUCAGAUUUGCCCAGAUGGGAUUAGCUUGUUUGUGGGGUAACGGCUCACCAAGGCGACGAUCCCUAGCUGGUCUGAGAGGAUGACCAGCAAAACUGGAACUGAGACACGGUCAAGACUCCUACGGGAGGAAGCAGUGGGGAAUAUUGCACAAUGGGCGCAAGCCUGAGGCAGCCAUGCCGCGUUUAUGAAGAUGGCCUUCGGGUUGUAAAGUACUUUCAGCGGGGAGGCGUUACCCGCAGAAGAAGCACCGGCGAACUCCGUGCCAGCAGCCGCGGUAAUUC